GUCCAUGUAGCUUAAAUAAAGCAUGACACUGAAGAUGUCAAGAUGGCUGCCACAAACACCCAUGGACA
RNAcentral lists this transfer RNA (68 nucleotides) under Lanius schach (long-tailed shrike). RNAcentral describes it as "tRNA-Phe". It matches the Rfam family "tRNA". Rfam says of the family: Transfer RNA (tRNA) molecules are approximately 80 nucleotides in length. The record is from RNAcentral. RNAcentral also lists the same sequence under 1 other name. Lineage: Eukaryota; Metazoa; Chordata; Aves; Passeriformes; Laniidae.